GAUGAACGCUGGCGGCGUGCCUAAUACAUGCAAGUCGAGCGAACAGACGAGGAGCUUGCUCCUCCGACGUUAGCGGCGGACGGGUGAGUAACACGUGGAUAACCUACCUAUAAGACUGGGAUAACUUCGGGAAACCGGAGCUAAUACCGGAUAAUAUAUUGAACCGCAUGGUUCAAUAGUGAAAGACGGUUUUGCUGUCACUUAUAGAUGGAUCCGCGCCGCAUUAGCUAGUUGGUAAGGUAACGGCUUACCAAGGCAACGAUGCGUAGCCGACCUGAGAGGGUGAUCGGCCACACUGGAACUGAGACACGGUCCAGACUCCUACGGGAGGCAGCAGUAGAGAAUCUUCCGCAAUGGGCGAAAGCUUGACGGAGCAACGCCGCGUGAGUGAUGAAGGUCUUCGGAUCGUAAAACUCUGUUAUUAGGGAAGAACAAAUGUGUAAGUAACUAUGCACGUCUUGACGGUACCUAAUCAGAAAGCCACGGCUAACUACGUG
This 497-nucleotide ribosomal RNA is filed under the name uncultured bacterium. RNAcentral's name for it is "partial 16S ribosomal RNA". It matches the Rfam family "Bacterial small subunit ribosomal RNA", at positions 28 to 507 of the family's 1533-position model. The record is from RNAcentral.